Molecule: ribosomal RNA, 774 nt
Filed under: uncultured bacterium
Lineage: Bacteria
Description: bacterial SSU rRNA
Rfam family: Bacterial small subunit ribosomal RNA
Source: RNAcentral
AGGCGGUUUGUCGCGUCUGCUGUGAGAGCCCGGGGCUUAACCCCGGGUGUGCAGUGGGUACGGGCAGACUUGAGUGCAGUAGGGGAGACUGGAACUCCUGGUGUAGCGGUGAAAUGCGCAGAUAUCAGGAAGAACACCGAUGGCGAAGGCAGGUCUCUGGGCUGUUACUGACGCUGAGGAGCGAAAGCAUGGGGAGCGAACAGGAUUAGAUACCCUGGUAGUCCAUGCCGUAAACGUUGGGCACUAGGUGUGGGGGACAUUCCACGUUUUCCGCGCCGUAGCUAACGCAUUAAGUGCCCCGCCUGGGGAGUACGGCCGCAAGGCUAAAACUCAAAGGAAUUGACGGGGGCCCGCACAAGCGGCGGAGCAUGCGGAUUAAUUCGAUGCAACGCGAAGAACCUUACCAAGGCUUGACAUACACCGGACCGGCUCAGAGAUGGGUUUUCCUCCUUGUGGGGCUGGUGUACAGGUGGUGCAUGGUUGUCGUCAGCUCGUGUCGUGAGAUGUUGGGUUAAGUCCCGCAACGAGCGCAACCCUCGUUCUAUGUUGCCAGCACGUGAUGGUGGGGACUCAUAGGAGACUGCCGGGGUCAACUCGGAGGAAGGUGGGGAUGACGUCAAAUCAUCAUGCCCCUUAUGUCUUGGGCUUCACGCAUGCUACAAUGGCCAGUACAAUGGGUUGCGAUACCGUGAGGUGGAGCUAAUCCCAAAAAGCUGGUCUCAGUUCGGAUCGUGGUCUGCAACUCGACCACGUGAAGUCGGAGUCGCUAGUAAU